This 910-nucleotide ribosomal RNA is filed under the name uncultured bacterium. RNAcentral describes it as "bacterial SSU rRNA". It matches the Rfam family "Bacterial small subunit ribosomal RNA", at positions 17 to 920 of the family's 1533-position model. The record is from RNAcentral.
UCCUGGCUCAGGAUGAACGCUGGCGGCGUGCCUAAUACAUGCAAGUCGAGCGAGGUUCUUCGGAACCUAGCGGCGGACGGGUGAGUAACACGUGGGUAACCUGCCUGUAAGACCGGGAUAACUUCCGGAAACCGAAGCUAAUACCGGAUACUUUAGAGCAUCGCAUGAUGCUUGAUUGAAAGACGGCUUCGGCUGUCACUUACAGAUGGACCCGCGUCGCAUUAGCUAGUUGGUGAGGUCACGGCUCACCAAGGCGACGAUGCGUAGCCGACCUGAGAGGGUGAUCGGCCACACUGGAACUGAGACACGGCCCAGACUCCUACGGGAGGCAGCAGUAGGGGAUCUUCGGCAAUGGGCGAACGCCUGACCGAGCAACGCCGCGUGAGCGAUGAAGGCCUUCGGGUCGUAAAGCUCUGUUGUUAAGGAAGAACAAGUACGAGAGUAACUGCUCGUACCUUGACGGUACCCAACGAGAAAGCCACGGCUAACUACGUGCCAGCAGCCGCGGUAAUACGUAGGUGGCGAGCGUUAUCCGGAAUUAUUGGGCGUAAAGCGCGCGCAGGCGGUUUCUUAAGUCUGAUGUGAAAGCCCACGGCUCAACCGUGGAGGGUCAUUGGAAACUGGGAAACUUGAGUGCAGAAGAGGAAAGCGGAAUUCCACGUGUAGCGGUGAAAUGCGUAGAGAUGUGGAGGAACACCAGUGGCGAAGGCGGCUUUCUGGUCUGUAACUGACGCUGAGGCGCGAAAGCGUGGGGAGCAAACAGGAUUAGAUACCCUGGUAGUCCACGCCGUAAACGAUGAGUGCUAAGUGUUAGAGGGUUUCCCGCCCUUUAGUGCUGAAGUUAACGCAUUAAGCACUCCGCCUGGGGAGUACGGUCGCAAGACUGAAACUCAAAGGAAUUGACGGGGGC